UCCUGACUGGUGCGUCAUGGCCCAGCUCCAGCCUUCCCGGACAAGGUUAUCCAGUGGCAUCGAUGGAGCAGGCUCGGCACCUACAGUUGCGGG
This 93-nucleotide transfer RNA is filed under the name Pseudomonas putida. Its description in RNAcentral is "tRNA-Pro". The record is from RNAcentral. RNAcentral also lists the same sequence under 1 other name. Lineage: Bacteria; Pseudomonadati; Pseudomonadota; Gammaproteobacteria; Pseudomonadales; Pseudomonadaceae.